This 72-nucleotide transfer RNA is filed under the name Camelus bactrianus (Bactrian camel). It matches the Rfam family "tRNA". From Rfam's summary of the family: Transfer RNA (tRNA) molecules are approximately 80 nucleotides in length. Their secondary structure includes four short double-helical elements and three loops (D, anti-codon, and T loops). RNAcentral also lists the same sequence under 3 other names. The record is from Rfam by way of RNAcentral. Lineage: Eukaryota; Metazoa; Chordata; Mammalia; Artiodactyla; Camelidae.
GAGGGUAUAGCUCAGUGGUAGACCACAUGCUUAGCAUGUGUGAGGUCCUGGGUUCAGUCCCCAGUACCUCCA